Molecule: long non-coding RNA, 843 nt
Organism: Heterocephalus glaber (naked mole-rat)
Lineage: Eukaryota; Metazoa; Chordata; Mammalia; Rodentia; Bathyergidae
Source: Ensembl
GGUCUUGAGUGAACCACUAGGGGCUUUCUGUGCUAGCUAAGCAAAUCUCUAUGCCUACACCUUGCGGGUGAUUCAUCCAAAGGGUCCUCGAAUCUCCAGAGACUGCAUGCAAGUAUCUGCCUGCACCUCUGAGAAGACCGUAGGGAAAGUGACUCGAGAUUGUGGUCAGGUUCAAGAUAGUUCUCUUGGAGACAGUAUUCAGGAGGACAACCUACUCUUGAGGAUAAGAGUAUGGAUGGUUCCUCCUCUUUCUCCUUCUUCUCCUUCUCUCCAGUUCAUCAGCCCUGACUUCUGGCCCCUUGGCAGUUGGUGCAUGUUGAAGAAGGAGGAGACUUCACAAGGAAGUUCUCACUUGAACACUCACUAGUGCUGUACGCAGGGUUUGGCUCUCUUGGACUCCUCAGAGCCUCGCUUUUGGGGACUUCUUGUCUACCGCACCUCAGCAUGUGCAUUACUCUUCAUGUGGGGUUCUGCAACUCCCUAGGAAUUCCAAGUCCACCUCCAGUUUCUCCUGGCCAGGAUCCCUUUUCUCUCCUGGAGAUCCAAGCCAAUACCAACCCCAGAGCUCUCUCCCAUAGGAAACUUUCAUUUAACUUUCGUCCUGAGCAGUGGAGCCCCAGGGCUGCCCUUGGAGCAGCUGGCCCAUCGCACGCUCUGGAUCCCCAUGGCAAUUUGAACUCCUCUCUGCGGUCCCACAUGGUUAACUCUCUCCCAACAUCUGCUGAAGCUGGCGCCCCUGUUUGCAGCGUCCGUGACACGUGGGUGCCACAGUGCACAGUGCCCUCGGGUGUUGGUGGGCGUGCAGCAUUUCUACAGCUCUCCCGCACACCUGCUCCUUCGUGG